UACAGAGGUCCCAAGCGUUGUUCGGAUUCAUUGGGCGUAAAGGGUGCGUAGGUGGCGCCGUAAGUCGGGUGUGAAAUUUCGGAGCUUAACUCCGAGACUGCAUUCGAUACUGCGGUGCUUGAGGACUGGAGAGGAGACUGGAAUUCAUGGUAUAGCAGUGAAAUGCGUAGAGAUCAUGAGGAAGACCAGUGGCGAAGGCGGGUCUCUGGACAGUUCCUGACACUGAGGCACGAAGGCCAGGGGAGCAAACGGG
RNAcentral lists this ribosomal RNA (253 nucleotides) under uncultured bacterium. Its description in RNAcentral is "partial 16S ribosomal RNA". It matches the Rfam family "Bacterial small subunit ribosomal RNA", at positions 524 to 776 of the family's 1533-position model. The record is from RNAcentral.